Molecule: ribosomal RNA, 442 nt
Filed under: uncultured bacterium
Lineage: Bacteria
Description: bacterial SSU rRNA
Rfam family: Bacterial small subunit ribosomal RNA
Source: RNAcentral
ACGAACGCUGGCGGCAUGCCUUACACAUGCAAGUCGAACGUGAAAGUGUCUUCGGACAUUAGUAGAGUGGCAAACGGGUGAGUAACGCGUGGGAAUAUACCUUAUAGUACGGAAUAGCCUCGGGAAACUGGGAUUAAUACCGCAUACGCCCUUAGGGGGAAAGAUUUAUCGCUAUAAGAUUAGCCCGCGUUAGAUUAGCUAGUUGGUGGGGUAAUAGCCUACCAAGGCAACGAUCUAUAGCUGGUCUGAGAGGACGAUCAGCCACAUUGGGACUGAGACACGGCCCAAACUCCUACGGGAGGCAGCAGUGGGGAAUAUUGGACAAUGGACGAAAGUCUGAUCCAGCAAUGCCGCGUGAGUGAUGAAGGCCUUAGGGUUGUAAAGCUCUUUAAGUGGGGAAGAUAAUGACGGUACCCACAGAAUAAGCACCGGCUAACUUCGU